This 299-nucleotide long non-coding RNA is filed under the name Dromaius novaehollandiae (emu). Its description in RNAcentral is "lncRNA (ENSDNVG00000004363.1)". Lineage: Eukaryota; Metazoa; Chordata; Aves; Casuariiformes; Dromaiidae. The record is from RNAcentral.
UCAGUAACUAAGAACUUGGUGCCCUGUGUCUUUUUGUCAGACUUGCCUCUUCCUGCCUACAACUGUUGCCAACUCUGGAACAGCUGAGCUGGAAUAAAGAAAUACCCCAGAGGACYGGAGAGCCCCUGUGGAUAGAUCUAUUCUUCUUUUCAGCCCGCACCUACCUCCCUGCUAGGGAAGAAAAGACCCCCUGCUGCAGAGGAGAGCACCAACGUGGCAGCUUUCACUUCUGUUCCACCAAACACUUCCAAGAGCAGUUUUCUCUCAGAGCUGUUCUCCUGGUAACUUCUACAGAUAAA